This 74-nucleotide transfer RNA is filed under the name Teichococcus cervicalis. RNAcentral's name for it is "Roseomonas cervicalis tRNA-Cys". It matches the Rfam family "tRNA". From Rfam's summary of the family: Transfer RNA (tRNA) molecules are approximately 80 nucleotides in length. Lineage: Bacteria; Pseudomonadati; Pseudomonadota; Alphaproteobacteria; Acetobacterales; Roseomonadaceae. RNAcentral also lists the same sequence under 1 other name. The record is from RNAcentral.
GGUCGGUUGGCCGAGUGGUUAGGCUCAGGACUGCAAAUCCUGCCACGCCGGUUCGAUUCCGGCACCGACCUCCA